GGGGAAUAUUGGACAAUGGGCGAAAGCCUGAUCCAGCCAUGCCGCGUGUGUGAAGAAGGUCUUCGGAUUGUAAAGCACUUUAAGUUGGGAGGAAGGGCAGUAAGUUAAUACCUUGCUGUUUUGACGUUACCGACAGAAUAAGCACCGGCUAACUCUGUGCCAGCAGCCGCGGUAAUA
RNAcentral lists this ribosomal RNA (177 nucleotides) under Roseibium denhamense. RNAcentral describes it as "partial 16S ribosomal RNA". It matches the Rfam family "Bacterial small subunit ribosomal RNA", at positions 356 to 525 of the family's 1533-position model. Lineage: Bacteria; Pseudomonadati; Pseudomonadota; Alphaproteobacteria; Hyphomicrobiales; Stappiaceae. The record is from RNAcentral.